Macaca mulatta (Rhesus monkey) is the source of this 4072-nucleotide non-coding RNA. The record is from RefSeq and is a predicted model, not a curated record. NCBI's taxonomy places the organism in Eukaryota, Metazoa, Chordata, Mammalia, Primates, Cercopithecidae.
AUUUAAUUUAUAACUAGACAUUUGAUCAAUGUUUAUCUUAAAACAUUUAUACAUUCAAAUUAGCAAAAAAAAUUGGUUUGGAUUUCCUCAUAGAGAAGAUGGGAAAAUGUCUUAUGUUACAUUUGUGUCUUAGUUCAUUUUGUAUUACUAUAACAGAAUACCUGAGACUGAGUAAUUUAUAAAGAAAAGAGGUUGAUUUAGUUCUGCAGGUUGGGAAGUUAAAGAUCAUGGCCCCGGCUUCUGACAAGGGCUUUAGUGCUGCAUCAUAACAUGGUAGAGAAGGUCAAAGGGGAAGUGGACACAUGCCAAGAGGCAAACUCCAAGGCGCGUUGGGCUUUAUAACAAACCACUCUCUCAUGAUCACCUUCUACUCAACAAUAUAUGGUUUAUCACUGGCCCUUAUUUCUGAGUUCGUUAAUAUACUGAAUCUGGUUAAAAUGAGAAUUAAAUAGCAGCUUUGAAAGAAAAACAAAGGGACAAUAUAAUAAAAGGGAAACAGGGGACAUGAAGGAUGUACAUGGCAACAGCCCAUAUUUUCAGGUAACCAGUCCCAGUCCUAUGUAUGUUAUUCUGGAAAUAGAUUUCUCAUAGUUUAUUUCACAGAUGCUGGUACCUGUCCCUUUAUUCUCUCUAGCUGCCCAUUUCAAGAGUCACUAGAGGUACUUGUGGCUCUUAAUACAAGGCUCAGUAUCCCAAAUGACAGACUCUUAAUGACCCCAAUCAGUUUGAUACUCCUGUCAUGUCCUUUGUCUGCUAUGUUAAAAAAUGUAAAAAAUUUGUGUAGGAUCUAGAUAUUAAGAAAAAAAUGGAAAAAAAAAUAUAUAUAUAUAUGGUUUCAAAACAAAUUGCUAAGGUUUGAAUUUCUCCUCAUCAAAACUCUUGUUGAAAUCUGACCCCAACCUCAGUGUGGGAGUAUUGGGAGGUGGAGACCUAGUAAGAGGUGUUUGGGUCAUGGGGGCAGAUCCCUCAUGAAUGGUUUAGUGCCUUUUUCAUGGUAAUGAGUGAGUUCUUACUCUCAUGAGAUUGGAUUAGUUCUCUCAGGAAUGCUUCUGAAUGGGUUGUUACACAGCCAGCACGCCCCUUGAUUUUGCCUCUUCACACAGGUCUGCUUCCCCUUUGACCUUUUCUGCCAUGUUAUGAAGCAGCACUAAAGCUCUUACCAGAAACCAGGGUCAUGCCCUUGAACUCCCCAGCCUGCAGAACCAUGAGCUAAACUUUUUUACUUUAUAAAUUUCCCUGUCUCAGGUAUUCUGUUAUAGCAAAACAGACUAUGACACAAAUGUUUAGUGUUGAUUGGAAAAAUGACAUAGAAAUAAAUAUUCAGUAAGAGAAGAAACAAUUCUUUCCACAUGUAUCAUAUGAUGGUAUCCAGGACUUCUAUAACAUGACACAGAUGACUUAUGCCUGCUUACUUAUUGAGCUGUUCAGUAAGAAAACCGCCUAUUUGUUCAUAUUUAUUGUCUUCAGUAAGCUUGCUUGGAGUGUCUUGUAGUUGCUAAGGAUAAGAAAGUCAAUGUUAAGUAAAUAGAAAGACUGUUUCUUCCUCUCUGCAAAGAAAAUGAGAAUAUAAAUUCUAAAGAACCAUAUGAAAUAGGAAGUUCCGAACUAGAGAGUGAAAGAUAUAGGACAUGUAUGCUAUUGUAAUCUGAACUGAGCUACUGAGCUUCAUAUACUUGUUUCUCCUGGCUGCCUGUGCAAACUGCACAUACUGUGAUGUGGGGUAGCCACAGAUUAGUUUAACGACUUAGUAAUAGGCCUAAAGAACACUUAAACUGUGUUGCUAGUCUGUAUCGCAAUGCUCUAAAUACAGCUAAAGAUUUUCAAUUUUGAUUCUGAGCAGAAAUUGGAUAUAAAAUUUGCCUAAAUACACAGUAUGCCAUACAGCAACGCAUUUAUUAUAUAAAAAGUCAAAAUAAAACAAAACAAAAAACAACCUAAUUCAAGGGCAUCUUUGGGGCUGGAAGAUGCCAUAUCAGAACAUGACUUUAUGUUCAUCCUAAACCCCAGAAAUAUACAAGAUAUGAGCCUAUCACAAAUACCACAUCCAGCUUGAACAAACCAGCCAGCAACACUUUCAAGCUUUACUGAAAAUAAGGCAGAAUGAAUGGUAAGUUAAAAGGUACUGAAACCUGGCAUAAUGUUGGUAUCAUGAACUAUAUCCAUGACAUCAGUGUAAAAGUAAAACAAAGUUUUUCUGUAACUUCUAAUAUCGUCAGGUAGGUAAUCUGUUCAUUUUUGAGAACACAUGACCACUUUCCAUCACUUGUUCCUCUUAAGUUUUUCCUUUCCAUAGCCUUUUCUUAUCUCCUUUGCAUUUAAAUUCUCUUUUUACUGUCUCCCUCUUUUUCCCUGUCCUACUAAUAUCUUGAGCCUGCCAGCAGUAUUCCUAUGUAUUUCAGUGUUGCUGGCAGCAUUUGCAAUUAGGAAAAUGCUGACCCUUGGCUGAAGGAGAAUGUUUCUCAAUGUUUUGUAAAUUUUAAAUUAACCUUGGUUAAAAAAAAAAAAAAAAGUUUCAAUGUUAUCACCUAAAUGAAGUGUAAUACAUCUAAACAAGAGAACAUGGAACGCAAUGUACCUUGAGAGCUACAAAAUCAUAUGGAUGAAAGCCAAUACAGGCUUCAUGAAUUUGGGACAUCAUUCGAGCUGUUUUCUCCCAGAAUCCAAGCAGUGUUCUCUGCAAAAAAAGAAAAGGUGACACUACAGUUCUCCUUCACCUCCAUGAUUUUUUAAGUGCUAUAUUUCCUUACUAGUUUAGUAGAUGAACAGUUGCCAAGUAAGAAGCAGCAGGAACUAAAUUCAAUUUUCCAAGUUUUCGGAACCAUAAAGCACUGCAAAUAGUGAUUGUGCAUAAGAAUUGGCAUCUUUGUCUGCAGGUGUGGGUGUUAUCGGUAUAAAUAGCACAGGAAUGCACACUGGAGCCACCUAGAGAGUAACUGCAGCUAAGAGAAUGAAAACUUAGGGAUUAGAACAUCUGAGAUAUCAAAAAGAGAAAUGUUAAAAGCACAAAAAUACCAGUCUCUGUUAAAGGAGGGACACAUGUGUAAUCUUUAUAUUAAUGGGAAUAUAUAAAACUUUUUAAUUGGAGAAAAAUUACAUUUACCACUAAAAAUUACAUUCACUAAAUCUGGCCUUUCAUCUAGAGUUCAAGAGAGAUUUGCCAAAAAAUGUGUUCUCAAGCUAACUCAAGUAAUUGGAAAUUUUCCUCGCUGCUUCAGGGUUCCUGAUUAAAGUGAGGGGGAUGAAUGGAGAGAAUAAAGGAGAAUUGAACUCAUAGCUGUUGUCUUUCAGGCAAGAUGCUAAACAGAUAUCACACACAGUUAUUUUCAAGUGCAUCCUUUCUCCAUUCCUGAAUCCCACAGUACUGAACUGAAAUAGGCAGACUCCCUAAAAGCAGGAGUUAAUGUCCAUUUCCUGUAAUUUAUUACUCUUUUCUUAUGUAAGUACAGUUUAUUCAAUUUUUUCCAUUUAAAAAUAUAUGUAAAAAUCAAUAACUGCUUAUUAAUAUCUAACUUAUUCAUUGUGUGUUAUUUAUAUGUGAUUUGUGGUAAUAUAAGCACAAGUGAGACUUCUGAGGUUAAAGUGAUACAGGAUGGCAACUUGGCAGAAUGAAAAGAACAUAGAACUUAGAAUUAGAAAACUUUGGUUUCUAAGCCCAACACUGCUAUUCAAAGGAAUCUAAUCACACAUAGUUUUUUGCACCCUCUAGACAACUUUUAAAAAGGAAUCUCACCACUCAUCUUUACUGCAAGGACAUGCUGACCAUGGAGGUGUCUGGGUCCAGCUCUUGGGAUACAUCUUUCAUCCACAGCAGAGCUCCUCUGUAUUCUGUGCGCGCCUGCUCCAUCCGAUUAAUUGUCAUCAAGGUAUCAGAUACCGCCCUUUGGCUGAAUGUUGCUACUUCUUGCUUCAGACGAGACAGAGGAGUACACAGGGCCAAUCUAAUGGCAGAGAGAUGCCUAAUAUCAUCAAGAAGCCUGAACAUUCUAUCUCUGGAGCAGUUUUUAUUAUUAUUUUGAUGUUUGAUCAAGCCUAAAGAAGGUAGAUAAUAAACACGAAAAUCGUAAAAGGAGGA